Molecule: non-coding RNA, 562 nt
Organism: Myodes glareolus (Bank vole)
Lineage: Eukaryota; Metazoa; Chordata; Mammalia; Rodentia; Cricetidae
Source: RefSeq, a predicted model, not a curated record
AACUGUCAAAUGAAAUGCAGACAAAGCAUCAACUUUGGUUUCUUUCUCCUUUAUUAUCAGUCCCUACCUUCUCAUAUUUUUCACUGGAGCUUUGGAAGCUGCCUACAACACCAUGCAUGGCACAGAUGCACACUGAUUCUGCUCAUGGGUCCGGAAGAAAUCACAUGUCAAACAAUCAUAAGCCUGGAGGAAACAGGGCCUUACUGCCUUGCAGGGUGCAUCCUGCCAGGGCUGGCUGGUGAUUUCUCCCUAGAUGUAACAGCAGGUAUGAGGGGGAGGCAAUGCCCUGGAAGCCCCAUGUCCAGGAGCUCCCUUGCACCACCUACCACUGUGGCUUCCCUGUCACCUACCAGCCUCUACCCUGUCAUGCAGAGUCCCAAGGAGUACCUGAAAGCACCCUUCGCAUGCCAGUCCAUCCUCCCAUGAAAACAGGAACAUGGAAGACACCAGCUUCCAUGAGCAGAACCCUGACUAUCUAGCUCAGACGACAACUCCAGCUGAGCAGCCAGGCCAGAUGCCCCCAACUCCCCAGGCAGAGCUCAGCAUCCCACUUACCAUGAUA